RNAcentral lists this ribosomal RNA (506 nucleotides) under uncultured Glomeromycotina. RNAcentral describes it as "partial small subunit ribosomal RNA". It matches the Rfam family "Eukaryotic small subunit ribosomal RNA", at positions 591 to 1092 of the family's 1831-position model. Lineage: Eukaryota; Fungi; Glomeromycota. The record is from RNAcentral.
CCAAUAGCGUAUAUUAAAGUUGCUGCGGUUAAAAAGCUCGUAGUUGAAUUUCGGAAUUGAUGCAUCGGUCGUGCCUUAAGGGGCAUGAACUGGUGUAGCCAAUUUCUCACCUUCUGGUGAAUUGUUGAUGUUCUUAAUGGGUGUCUCAAUGAACUAGAAUUUUUUACUUUGAAAAAAUUAGAGUGUUUAAAGCAGGCAUUAAUUUGCUUGAAUACAUUAGCAUGGAAUAAUGAAAUAGGACAGUGGUUCCGUUUUGUUGGUUUCUAGGAUCACGUAAUGAUUAAUAGGGACAGUUGGGGGCAUUAGUAUUCAAUUGUCAGAGGUUAAAUUCUUGGAUUUAUUGAAGACUAACUAUUGCGAAAGCAUUUGCCAAGGAUGUUUUCAUUAAUCAAGAACGAAAGUUAGGGGAUCAAAGACGAUUAAGUACGUCGUAGUCCUAACCAUAAACUAUACCGACUAGGAAUCAGACGAUGUUAAUUUUUUAAUGACUCGUUUGGUACCUUACG